CUAUACAUGCAAGUCGAGCGGACGGAUGGGAGCUUGCUCCCUGAAGUCAGCGGCGGACGGGUGAGUAACACGUGGGCAACCUGCCUGUAAGACUGGGAUAACUCCGGGAAACCGGGGCUAAUACCGGAUAACUCUUUUCCUCACAUGAGGAAAAGCUGAAAGAUGGUUUCGGCUAUCACUUACAGAUGGGCCCGCGGCGCAUUAGCUAGUUGGUGAGGUAACGGCUCACCAAGGCCACGAUGCGUAGCCGACCUGAGAGGGUGAUCGGCCACACUGGGACUGAGACACGGCCCAGACUCCUACGGGAGGCAGCAGUAGGGAAUCUUCCGCAAUGGACGAAAGUCUGACGGAGCAACGCCGCGUGAGUGAUGAAGGUUUUCGGAUCGUAAAACUCUGUUGUCAGGGAAGAACAAGUACCGGAGUAACUGCCGGUACCUUGACGGUACCUGACCAGAAAGCCACGGCUAACUACGUGCCAGCAGCCGCGGUAAUACGUAGGUGGCAAGCGUUGUCCGGAAUUAUUGGGCGUAAAGCGCGCGCAGGCGGUUCCUUAAGUCUGAUGUGAAAGCCCCCGGCUCAACCGGGGAGGGUCAUUGGAAACUGGGGAACUUGAGUGCAGAAGAGAAGAGUGGAAUUCCACGUGUAGCGGUGAAAUGCGUAGAGAUGUGGAGGAACACCAGUGGCGAACGCGACUCUUUGGUCUGUAAC
Molecule: ribosomal RNA, 708 nt
Filed under: Cytobacillus oceanisediminis
Lineage: Bacteria; Bacillati; Bacillota; Bacilli; Caryophanales; Bacillaceae
Description: bacterial SSU rRNA
Rfam family: Bacterial small subunit ribosomal RNA
Source: RNAcentral